Phacochoerus africanus (Common warthog) is the source of this 1201-nucleotide long non-coding RNA. RefSeq lists it as uncharacterized. Lineage: Eukaryota; Metazoa; Chordata; Mammalia; Artiodactyla; Suidae. The record is from RefSeq and is a predicted model, not a curated record. The transcript has 2 exons.
CGCAGAGGUGAGGCAGUUUCUAUAAAAGCUUGAGCCUCGCACCCUCGCGUUCUUUCGGAAUCAAGAAAGAGGUCGGUGUGCUUUUUCUUCCUUCCUCUGUGCACCACAGUCCCGGGAGGACCUGGGCCCGAGUUGGGCCGGGGAGGUGGCCUAAACCCGCCGGCCGACCUAGCCUCCAGGUCCAGCCUCCGUCUGAGCUCCUCCGUGGCCCUCAGCGUUCUAUACGUUUCUGCCCCCACUUCCCAGUUCUGUCCCGAACUUCCAGCAGUACUUCUCCCUACAGGAACAUCGGUGACCUGGCAGAAGACCGCGAGGCAAAUCAUCCAUGGGGGCCUGGUUAAUAAGGCGGGAGUCCAUGUCUGUCCAGAGUGCUCAGCAAUGAAGCAGAGGUGGUGAGUGUGUAUUCACUCUCACACCUGUUGGUGUUAGGAACGGAAACCAGACCCGGGUGAGUCAGAACAGGGCUUUAAUCAUCGUCCAAAACAGGACGCCUGCUCCUAAGGAAGAGGAGGAUAGAGCUCCCUUGAGAUCCUAUACUUUGCUUUCGCCACUGAGGCACUCUGAGAUCCAGAAACAUCUGCCCUUCAGGCAUAUGCCAUCUCACUGGCACAUUUCCAGAAUGAGGCUAAAACCCGGGACAACCAAAGGUGGAAAGGUGAUACACCCUCUAUAUGCCUCAGGACCUCAGGCCCUAAUCACAUACUGGAAGGGGGGAUCCCCACCUCCCAACUGCAGCCCCCUUGGAAAGGGCCAUAUCCGGUCACCUCUCCACCCCUACAUUGGUCUGUGUUUCUGGACUGGAAAGCUGGAUAGACCACUCCCCAGCUAAGGCGAGCUCCAGGAGAGACCAGUGGGAUUCCCCGCUACACCUGUGAGCCACUUGGAGACUUCCGCUAGCCCUUAAGCCUCGGCUAAGUAGACAUGUCCCUCGUGAUCGGCCUCUUUCGUUAGGCAGUAGACCAGGCCUAGUCUCUGGACCCACCCCUGGGAAUGGGGACCAGUCUCCUAGCAACACUUAGACCCUCGCAAGCCAUACCUCCUACCCAACUGGACACUCUGGGCCACUGUUCCAGCCCAACUCGUUGCCAAAAUCCGACAAACGCCCCUGGCAGAGGAGUGGCAUUUGGGGCAAGGGGAGAACAUUUUUUUGCCCUUGGUGUCAACAGUUGGUGGCAUUAAAAGCCAAAGCCUCUGCUUUUCC